AGUGAACGCUGGCGGUAGGCCUAACACAUGCAAGUCGAACGGCAGCACAGUAAGAGCUUGCUCUUACGGGUGGCGAGUGGCGGACGGGUGAGGAAUACAUCGGAAUCUACUUUUUCGUGGGGGAUAACGUAGGGAAACUUACGCUAAUACCGCAUACGACCUACGGGUGAAAGCAGGGGAUCUUCGGACCUUGCGCGAUUGAAUGAGCCGAUGUCGGAUUAGCUAGUUGGCGGGGUAAAGGCCCACCAAGGCGACGAUCCGUAGCUGGUCUGAGAGGAUGAUCAGCCACACUGGAACUGAGACACGGUCCAGACUCCUACGGGAGGCAGCAGUGGAGAAUAUUGGACAAUGGGCGCAAACCUGAUCCAGCCAUACCGCGUGGGUGAAGAAGGCCUUCGGGUUGUAAAGCCCUUUUGUUGGGAAAGAAAAGCAGCAGGUUAAUACCCCGCUGUUCUGACGGUACCCAAAGAAUAAGCACCGGCUAACUUCGUG
RNAcentral lists this ribosomal RNA (492 nucleotides) under uncultured bacterium. Its description in RNAcentral is "partial 16S ribosomal RNA". It matches the Rfam family "Bacterial small subunit ribosomal RNA", at positions 29 to 507 of the family's 1533-position model. The record is from RNAcentral.